This 2953-nucleotide long non-coding RNA is filed under the name Malus domestica (apple). Its description in RNAcentral is "long non-coding RNA (MDOM_LNC008958)". Lineage: Eukaryota; Viridiplantae; Streptophyta; Magnoliopsida; Rosales; Rosaceae. The record is from RNAcentral.
GGAAUAAAAUUCCUCUUGAGGAUUUCCUAGUCUAGAUGCCUUAUUCGGACUUGCUUAAACACAUGAUUUUGUAGAACGUACUCGACUUAGUACGCUAGUUCGAGAUGGAAGUGAUCGUACUCAAAGUCGGAACUUAUAGUCACCCUUCAGAUUAUUUCUGGAUUGCCCUUUCAAUCAUUCCCUCGAAUUACAUAGAAUCUAGGUUUGAAUGUUAUAACCCACAAUCCUAUUCCCCUAUUUUUUCUAUAGUUGUCCUGCAAGAUUGAUGCCCUAUUGCAUAAAAGUUCAUGCCCCAAUUAAAGUGCUACGUUCUUCUACGUGUCAAUGGUUCAUGGGAGUGUACCUUUGACAUUUGUCGCAAGUCUGGGCAUACUCUAUGGUGUAUUGUCGCAUGGUGGGCCAAUAGUACCUGCCUGUCAGUGCCUUCUGUGCGAGCGAUCUUCUUAUGGUGUGGUUACUGCAUACACCGGAGUGUCAUUGAGAAUUUGCAAAUCCAUCUCCGGAGUAAUGCGCAAUGGUAUGAGGUCUGGAGUAGGAACUUUGGUAAAGCUUUCCACAGAUGAUGGUGUAUCUUGAGGCCUAUUAGACCAAUUUCUGGCCAAAUGGCGAUCUUUAAGUAGCUUCCCAUCUUGAAUGUAGUCAGUGUAAAAAGCAUCACCAAAAUCUAAGCAAGCAUGUCUAUAUGUAAGACAUAAGUCAAAAUGCAUGUAAGUUAAGAUGAGUUUUGCAAAAUAGGUGUGAUCAAUAUUCGAACUGAAAAUUUGAGUAACAACUAUUCUAAUUCCACUAAAUCAACCUAAGACUGAUGUAAAUUGUGCAGUGCCACAAUUGGCAUAAGGAAAUACAAUUUAAAAUGAAAAGGAAGAUAUCAUAAGGAACAUGUUCAAUUGUGUCCAACAACUGCAAAACUAUAAUAAAAAAGAUAAACAAAUUCUGGUGUGUUCUUUGUGAUCUUGUUGAAAAGCUUCCAUCAUCUUUAAAAUUGUUGACGGUCUAAGUAGAGAUAUAUGAUUGAAAGGAACGACACAAUGUUGACAAAAAAGAAAAACAAAAAUGCGCCUCAAUGCACCACCCAACUUCUCUCAAACCCAAAUUAGCAGCACUAGCCAUCAAACUUUUGCCCACAACCACGUGAUCUAAAACGUUGACGGGCAUCAGUCAUCUGCACACUGAAGCGGGCCACCCUCAUCAACCACCCAGAAAAGCCCAAAACAAAGGCAUGGCCGACCCAAACGCACAAACCCAAGCCCUAACCAUUUUUAAAUUUUAGAAAAGAUCGCAAUUCCGUAAAUAAAUUCAAAUCCCAAAUCGAACUUGCACUGUAACCAAGUCACAAUGCCACCCAUAUCCAACAAAAAAAAUACUUUGGAAGUUCAAUCUUUAGACCACAUGCAUAGGAUUGAAGAGAAAAGAACACAUUUGACGAACAAAAACAUGCCCACAGGUAAAAACAUGCCCUUCAAUCUAAUCAAACAAGGACCAUACGAGUCUAUAACCUAACACUGAUGCGAAGCAUAAUGCACACACAAAAAAUGUAAAGGAUGCAAUCAAUAAACCAAUUCUCAAAAGCACGAACAGAUAAACCACUGAAUAAUCAGCAUUUCAUCUCAACAAAGAUGCCAAUUUUGAGUUCACAGACUACCAACCCAGCCAAAACAAAAACCCAGUUCUGUAAAACCACCAAACAGAAAAAAGCUCGUUCAUUUUCCACCAAAGAAGCCGACCCAGAAACCAAAACCCCACGAAUAAAAAGCCUUUUAGCUCAAAUCAAAGAUCACUAGAAGUAAACCACUGCAUGCCACUCAAAAUAUACAAAGACGAAAACGAAAAACAAAAACAACUUAUUUGUUGGAAAUGAAAAUUAAAAAAUAACCGUGACAGAACCUUAAAUUGAAUGAAUAGGCCAAGCAAAUUCUCUUUCCUCGAUUCGGUCAAAGACAUGGAAAACGCACAGGGUAGCAGAACCGAACCAGGGAGAAUAAAAUAACAACAGGCAAGUCUCUAAAGCAGCAAAGAAAGAGAACACAAUAACACUCUUUAAAUACCUCAAUUCAUUAAAAACCCACAUAAACUUGGCCUUGAACUUAAACGAACAGCAAAAAGUAGAUUAUACUACCUUGUAUCUUGGUGGGAAUCUAGGAUAAGAUAUUCAAUCCUCCUAAGAUUAUGAUUACUUGCCUAAUCCCAAAGAUAUCCUAAUUGACUUGAACUAGAUGUUUCUCACUUAGGAGACAAGUAAUACAGGUACCAGACCUAAAGCUAAAUUGGAUCUUCAGACUAAGGCUAAGCCUGAUCGUUUGACAGUCAUGAGAAACGAGUAUUCCAGUUCUUCUUGCCACCUGAGAUGCCACGUGCCAGGGACAUAGAAAUCAUGCUCCCACAACAUAUUUGAGGAUCAAUUAAACUAAUUUUGAUACUCCUUCCAAACUUAACCAUUCUUUAUUCGGAUCACUAUGUUAAUCCAUGUAAAAACCUAUUAUAUUUCAAUCGAAAUUCUACACAAGUAUGGUUAUACCUACACUAUGAAACAUACUUUAUGAUUCUACCUAAGUAUUAUUGUAACUGCUCUAUAUUUCAAACAUAUAAUAUACCUAAACUAAUGUACCUAAUAAGCAAAUAUUGUACCAACACUAUGGCACCAAGAUUAAUGAAUGUACCUACACUAUGGCACUUAGACUAAUAAAUGUACCCACACUACGGCCCCAAGACUAAUGAAUAUUAUAUAUCUAUGUUGAUGCACAAAACUGGAGGGGUCUUGGAACAACGUAAAUCCGACCGUGAAUCUGCAAGAAAGUAAAGAACACAAGAUGUAUCGUGGUUCACCCCAAUGUUUGGGCUACGUCCACACUAAUGUUGAUAUUGUUUCACUCUGAAUGGUGAAUAUACAAGAAGGCUAGAGGCAGUGUGCUCUCUAGCCUAUUUUCUCUCUUCCCAUGGCCUAAAUCUUGACCUC